Molecule: ribosomal RNA, 468 nt
Filed under: uncultured bacterium
Lineage: Bacteria
Description: partial 16S ribosomal RNA
Rfam family: Bacterial small subunit ribosomal RNA
Source: RNAcentral
GACGAACGCUGGCGGCGUGCUUAACACAUGCAAGUCGAACGGAAAGGCCCUGCUUUUGUGGGGUGCUCGAGUGGCGAACGGGUGAGUAACACGUGAGUAACCUGCCCUUGACUUUGGGAUAACUUCAGGAAACUGGGGCUAAUACCGGAUAGGAGCUCCUGCUGCAUGGGGGGGGUUGGAAAGUUUCGGCGGUUGGGGAUGGAUUCGCGGCUUACCAGCUUGUUGGGGGGGUAGUGGCUUACCACGGCUUUGACGGGUAGCCGGCCUGGGAGGGUGAUCGGCCACAUUGGGCCUGAGAUACGGCCCAGACUCCUACGGGACGCAGCGGUGGGGAAUAUUGCACAAUGGGCGGAAGCCUGAUGCAGCAACGCCGCGUGCGGGAUGCCGGCCUUCGGGUUGUAAACCGCUUUCGCCUGUGACGAAGCGUGAGUGACGGUAAUGGGUAAAGAAGCACCGGCUAACUACGUG